CCUACGUGGAGCAGCAGUGGGGAAUAUUGGGCAAUGGAGGAAACUCUGACCCAGCAAUGCCGCGUGAAUGAAGAAGGUCUUCGGAUUGUAAAGUUCUUUAGUCAGGGAAGAAUAAAAUGACGGUACCUGAAGAAUAAGCUCCGGCUAACUACGUGCCAGCAGCCGCGGUAAUACGUAGGGAGCAAGCGUUGUUCGGAAUGACUGGGCGUAAAGGGUGCGUAGGCGGUUAUACAAGUUAGAAGUGAAAUACCCAGGGCUUAACUCGGGUGCUGCUUCUAAAACUGUAAGACUAGAGUGCAGGAGAGGUUAGUGGAAUUCCUAGUGUAGCGGUGAAAUGCGUAGAUAUUAGGAGGAACACCAGUGGCGAAGGCGGCCUACUGGACUGUAACUGACGUUGAGGCUCGAAAGCGUGGGGAGCAAACAGGAUUAGAUACCCCGGUAGUC
This 444-nucleotide ribosomal RNA is filed under the name uncultured bacterium. RNAcentral describes it as "partial 16S ribosomal RNA". It matches the Rfam family "Bacterial small subunit ribosomal RNA", at positions 338 to 795 of the family's 1533-position model. The record is from RNAcentral.